AGAGUUUGAUCAUGGCUCAGGACGAACGCUGGCGGCGUGCUUAACACAUGCAAGUCGAGCGGUAAGGCCCUUUCGGGGGUACACGAGCGGCGAACGGGUGAGUAACACGUGAGCAACCUGCCCUCAACUUCGGGAUAAGCCUCGGAAACGGGGUCUAAUACCGGAUAUCACUUCCUGCUUCAUGGUGGGGGGUUGAAAGUUCUGGCGGUUGGGGAUGGGCUCGCGGCCUAUCAGCUUGUUGGUGGGGUAAUGGCCUACCAAGGCGUCGACGGGUAGCCGGCCUGAGAGGGCGACCGGCCACACUGGGACUGAGACACGGCCCAGACUCCUACGGGAGGCAGCAGUGGGGAAUAUUGCGCAAUGGACGGAAGUCUGACGCAGCAACGCCGCGUGAGGGAUGACGGCCUUCGGGUUGUAAACCUCUUUCAGCAGGGACGAAGCGAGAGUGACGGUACCUGCAGAAGAAGGGCCGGCCAACUACGUGCCAGCCGCCGCGGUAAUAC
This 503-nucleotide ribosomal RNA is filed under the name uncultured bacterium. RNAcentral describes it as "bacterial SSU rRNA". It matches the Rfam family "Bacterial small subunit ribosomal RNA", at positions 8 to 526 of the family's 1533-position model. The record is from RNAcentral.